AAAAGGGGGAGCAGGGGAGCAGGAGGGCACUACUGCGAGGCAGGGGGCAACUGCAAGGGGGGUGCAUGGGUCAAGGGGUGCGGUGCAAAGCGGGGUGCAGUGCGAAGGGUGGGGCAGGGAAACGAGGGGGUGCUAGAGCAAGGUGGAGUGCGGUGCAGGGCGGGGUUCAGCUGAAAAGGGUGCACGGAGGAGAAGUGUGCGGCGGGCACGGGUGCAAGCCUCAGAGCUUCCAGCGUGAUGGUGCUUGGGGAAAGCUGCAGGAAAUGCCGACGUUCGUCCUCUGGCAGACCUGGGUGGGAAGAGGGAGCACGCCGUGUUGCUGGUGGAAAUGAUCAACGACAAAUGUGACCCAUCAAUUAACGUGAAUCACGAGUCUGAGCAGGAACCAGCUAGAAACAGUUCUGAGAAGCUAAAACCAGUACGAUGUUCCCUUGAAAUAACUGGGUCAGAUUCGUCCACCUCCUCACGCCUAGAUCAAUCAACAGUCAUGGUGGGCUGGCACGAACCAUCUAGUAUCUCACUAUUGUACCUCUGCCAGUGGGGGAUGCAGCAUCAAAUUAACUUCUUGCUGCUUUGGUAGUGUGCUUGCACUUGCCUGGCUGAAUAACGCUGGCUGGACAGAGGCCUUUCAACCUAUUGAACAGGCUGGUGCUCUGGAAAUGACUUAAGUUGGUGCAAAUCCUUGCCAAAGGGGAGAGAUAUUCCCGCUUCCUCCUGAUUGGGACACAAAGACUUGGAGACAUUCAAUUAAAUCUGCGUACCGUAGUUAAUGAAUCGUCUCUGCAGUGCUCUGAUAGUGGCAAAUAACCCCAUCAGGGCCUGGGGGCUGAGCUGCGUUGGUGCUUUUUUCAGCUAUUCCUAGCUCGUGUGCCAUGAGAGGAGUCCAGUUACCUGCAGCUUUUUAUGGCCCAGCUGAGACGCCCGCUUGAGAGUCUUGGAACUUGCACCACCCUUGCACUGGGAGGGAGCGUAACAAGGCUUGAGCUGCUUGGCCUGCAAAGGGAGAGCAAAACUACUGCAUGAAUGGGCACCUGGAGCUUUAAAAAUGUCCAAUCAAGCAAAUUGCAUAAGUUAUAAUACACCAGAGCUUAUCCUAUUGUAUCCUGGAGAGCAAAAUCACACACUGUGGAUACAGCUCCUCCGCAUUUAACUUCAUAAUUGUCUUCCUUGGAAAGACAAGUGUGUCCCUGGAAAUACUUUGCACCUCUUUCCUUCAGGCAGCUGUGUAGCUGGGCACCUGCACUGACCCAAGUUCCUCCAGGCCACAGAAGCACGCAAUUUCACAACCAGCACCCACUAAUACAGUACCCAGCAAAUGCCCAGAGCUGUGUUUACAUCUAAGUCGUGCAGGAUUCAGUCCUCAUAUUGAGGAAAAUCUGCAGCAAGACUUUGCUCUUCCAUGGUAGCUUUGACCAGAGCGUCUGAAUAUUUUCCAGUAGACAUUAAUCAUCAAAAGGUAAACAUCUUUUACAUUGCCCAGGGAGGCAAACCCAGCCAGACACACAAGAGAAGGGAACUGUUUUCUGUAGAUUUGCUCAAAGAAACCAGGAAUGCAAACCUUGCUGUACAUACUGGCUGCAGUCCACGCUGGCUACAUGAAUAUUUUUAUACAUGUAUAGUCUAUUUCUAUAUUAGACACAGCUGUUGCUUUCUCAUCCUCUGUGUAUUUAUUUGAAAAAGAUGAACUCGGCACAACUACCUCUCGGUUUAUACUUUGCUGCUGUUCCCCCAUCCCUGCUUCCAACUCACAAUUGGCUGGGCAAAGUGGAUGCAGGUCAGGCUUUCUGUCAAAUGAUUUUCUUUUUCUCUGGUCUGCUCCAAUAAACAACACAGUUAAGUGGAAAGUAAAGGAUGCAUGCCACUAAAUUUUAUUUCAGCUGCUCUAGUUGAACCAUUUCUGCCUGCAAAAAAAUCUGGUCCAGCUCCAGCACUCACUGCCCUGUGUCUGCAAGACAAACCAUGUUGCUUCUCUCUCACGGAGCAAGGUCUACACCUACAAACUUGUGUACAUGUGUGCUGUGACUUCCUCACUAUGUCAUGGUGUGGAAAACUUAACUUUCUCAUGAAUUUUCUACAUUUUUACACUAUUUUUUGUAUGUUUGCAUGCAUAUGUGUAGCAUAAAUUGAUGACAGGAGACGCGUAUUUACUGACAGCAUUAAGUAAUGCCUCCUGUCUGACUUAAAUUAUUUUCCCUCGUGU
Cygnus olor (mute swan) is the source of this 2200-nucleotide long non-coding RNA. RefSeq lists it as uncharacterized. NCBI's taxonomy places the organism in Eukaryota, Metazoa, Chordata, Aves, Anseriformes, Anatidae. The record is from RefSeq and is a predicted model, not a curated record. The transcript is spliced from 3 exons.